UUUAUGGAGAGUUUGAUCCUGGCUCAGGAUGAACGCUGGCGGCGUGCCUAAUACAUGCAAGUCGAGCGAACGGACGAGAAGCUUGCUUCUCUGAUGUUAGCGGCGGACGGGUGAGUAACACGUGGAUAACCUACCUAUAAGACUGGGAUAACUUCGGGAAACCGGAGCUAAUACCGGAUAAUAUUUCGAACCGCAUGGUUCAAAAGUGAAAGACGGUCUUGCUGUCACUUAUAGAUGGAUCCGCGCUGCAUUAGCUAGUUGGUAAGGUAACGGCUUACCAAGGCAACGAUGCAUAGCCGACCUGAGAGGGUGAUCGGCCACACUGGAACUGAGACACGGUCCAGACUCCUACGGGAGGCAGCAGUAGGGAAUCUUCCGCAAUGGGCGAAAGCCUGACGGAGCAACGCCGCGUGAGUGAUGAAGGUCUUCGGAUCGUAAAACUCUGUUAUUAGGGAAGAACAUAUGUGUAAGUAACUGUGCACAUCUUGACGGUACCUAAUCAGAAAGCCACGGCUAACUACGUGCCAGCAGCCGCGGUAAUACGUAGGUGGCAAGCGUUAUCCGGAAUUAUUGGGCGUAAAGCGCGCGUAGGCGGUUUUUUAAGUCUGAUGUGAAAGCCCACGGCUCAACCGUGGAGGGUCAUUGGAAACUGGAAAACUUGAGUGCAGAAGAGGAAAGUGGAAUUCCAUGUGUAGCGGUGAAAUGCGCAGAGAUAUGGAGGAACACCAGUGGCGAAGGCGACUUUCUGGUCUGUAACUGACGCUGAUGUGCGAAAGCGUGGGGAUCAAACAGGAUUAGAUACCCUGGUAGUCCACGCCGUAAACGA
Molecule: ribosomal RNA, 826 nt
Filed under: Staphylococcus aureus
Lineage: Bacteria; Bacillati; Bacillota; Bacilli; Caryophanales; Staphylococcaceae
Description: bacterial SSU rRNA
Rfam family: Bacterial small subunit ribosomal RNA
Source: RNAcentral